AGUGAUCUGGAUGACAAAUUCAGGCAUCUGAACCUGAGACCAGAGGAGGAAGAAGAUGUAAUCCUUGAGGAUCUGGAAGAAUUGGAGAAGGAUGCGGAGUUCAUGGCCCUGGCUAGGGUUCAUACAACACGUAAAUUCAGUCACAGCGCGUUCUACGGAACCAUGAGAUCUGCGUGGAAUUUGGCGCAAGAAGUGGAGUUUAGAGCAAUUGAGGACAACUUAUUUACAGUCCAGAUG
RNAcentral lists this ribosomal RNA (237 nucleotides) under Triticum aestivum (bread wheat). RNAcentral's name for it is "partial small subunit ribosomal RNA". Lineage: Eukaryota; Viridiplantae; Streptophyta; Magnoliopsida; Poales; Poaceae. The record is from RNAcentral.